CCUACGGGAGGCAGCAGUGGGGAAUCUUAGACAAUGGGCGCAAGCCUGAUCUAGCCAUGCCGCGUGAGUGAUGAAGGCCUUAGGGUCGUAAAGCUCUUUCGCCUGUGAUGAUAAUGACAGUAGCAGGUAAAGAAACCCCGGCUAACUCCGUGCCAGCAGCCGCGGUAAUACGGAGGGGGUUAGCGUUGUUCGGAAUUACUGGGCGUAAAGCGCACGUAGGCGGAUUGGAAAGUUGGGGGUGAAAUCCCGGGGCUCAACCCCGGAACUGCCUCCAAAACUAUCAGUCUAGAGUUCGAGAGAGGUGAGUGGAAUUCCAAGUGUAGAGGUGAAAUUCGUAGAUAUUUGGAGGAACACCAGUGGCGAAGGCGGCUCACUGGCCCGAUACUGACGCUGAGGUGCGAAAGUGUGGGGAGCAAACAGGAUUAGAUACCCUGGUAGUCCACACCGUAAACGAUGAAUGCCAGACGUCGGAUAGUAUACUAUUCGGUGACACACCUAACGGAUUAAGCAUUCCGCCUGGGGAGUACGGUCGCAAGAUUAAAACUCAAAGGAAUGACGG
RNAcentral lists this ribosomal RNA (559 nucleotides) under uncultured bacterium. Its description in RNAcentral is "bacterial SSU rRNA". It matches the Rfam family "Bacterial small subunit ribosomal RNA", at positions 338 to 916 of the family's 1533-position model. The record is from RNAcentral.